AACAUCUUCUACUCUUAGCGUUUUUGAGAAAAGUUUAUAUUUACAAAGUUAUUUCGUGUUAAAUUUGUCGUAUUUCAGUAAUUUCAACCAAUCAAUGAUGUGUAUUCAGCUGAAUAAAAUUACUGCUAACCCAUGCUAGCAUGCAAAGCAGACGUUAAAGGAUGAUGAUGAUGAUGAUGUUUGUCAACAACAACUGGUGGUAUAUAUUUCGUUUGUUGUUGUUAUUUAUGACAUCGUUCAUGCGUUUGUACUGGUUUUAGCUUUAAGGUGUUAGGGUUAGGGUUUUAGGGUUAGAGUUAAGGUUUUAGUGUUAGGGCUAGGGUUUUAGUGUCAGGGCUAUGGUUUUAGGGUUAGGGUUAGGGUUUUAGGGUUAGAGUUAAGGUUUUAGUGUUAGGGCUAGGGUUUUAGUGUCAGGGCUAAGGUUUUAGGGUUAGGGUUAGGGUUUUAGUUUCAGGGCUAAGGUUUUAGGGUUAGGGUUAGGGUUUUAGUGUCAGGGCUAAGGUUUUAGGGUUAGGGUUAGGGUUUUAGGGUUAGAGUUAAGGUUUUAGUGUUAGGGCUAGGGUUUUAGUGUCAGGGCUAAGGUUUUAGGGUUAGGGUUAGGGUUUUAGUGUCAGGGCUAAGGUUUUAGGGUUAGGGUUAGGGUUUUAGGGUUAGAGUUAAGGUUUUAGUGUUAGGGCUAGGGUUUUAGUGUCAGGGCUAAGGUUUUAGGGUUAGGGUUGGGGUUUUAGGGUUAGAGUUAAGGUUUUAGUUUUAGGGCUAGGGUUUUAGUGUCAGGGCUAAGGUUUUAGGGUUAGGGUUAAAAAAGUCUUAGCGAAAAUAGUAGCUGAAAAACAGGAAAAAACAUAACUAAAACCAGUAGAAAUGCACGAACGAUUCUGGUGGUGUCAUGAAGUAAACAUGUUUCAGAUAGACUCGUUUUUCAUACAAACAUAACUGAGAUGAAAUAUGUCGUAAAUAACAGUGACAAACGAAAUAUACACCGCCAGAAGUUGUUGUUGACAAACAACAGCAGUAAUUUUAUUCAGAUGAAUACACGCCAUUGAUUGGUUGAAAUUACCGAAAUACGACAAAUUUAACACGAAAUAACUUUGUAAAUAUAAACUUUU
This 1106-nucleotide long non-coding RNA is filed under the name Octopus vulgaris (common octopus). Lineage: Eukaryota; Metazoa; Mollusca; Cephalopoda; Octopoda; Octopodidae. The record is from RNAcentral.